Molecule: non-coding RNA, 847 nt
Organism: Erythranthe guttata (spotted monkey flower)
Lineage: Eukaryota; Viridiplantae; Streptophyta; Magnoliopsida; Lamiales; Phrymaceae
Source: RefSeq, a predicted model, not a curated record
ACAUUUUUAUAGCGCUUUUACCAUAAAUGCUAUUACUCAUUUUGGGUAAUUUCAAUAAUUAGCAAUUGGAAAGAAAAAACGCUAUAGUAAUAUUCAAUAUUUAGUGGGCCGUGAAAAUAUAACAUAUUUUGGGAAAAAUAAUUCAAUUCCUCUCGCCGUUUCCUAUAAUAUCAAUCGGCAACUAUCUCUCCUAUCGACGCCACAAAAUCCGCUAUUUCUAGGGUCUAGACCCUCGUCUCCCUUGCGUCGAUUUGUCGAUGUGCCAUCUCGCCAUUUCUCUCUGUUCUAGGGAUAGUUAGUGUCUCCCAAUCUCUGUUUCUCCGUUUAUUUAUUUAAUUUGUCUGCGGUGCUAAAUGCCCUAAUAUCAGUUUUUUGCUAGAGAAAUCAGGAAUCAUCGAUGGAGGUUAGCGAGGUAGAAGUUGUUUGGAGAAAAUUAAUGUGUCCAACUGCAUACUCUUCUUCCACAACCCUCCAAGAAACUCCCCAAUUUUUCAGGGUUGGAUAGGGGUGAAACGUAUAAGCAUUAGUUAAUGUGUACUCCGUGUGUGGAAUUUAAUUGUGGGUAUUGAGCAACACAAAUGCAUGUUGAUGAUCCUUGAUUUGAUAUUGCUUCUUUAUUUAUAAGGUCAAAAAUUGUAAAACAGAAUUGUAGAACAAUAAUGAAUUUCAGAUGAAAUGGCUUCAUGUAGUCGCAAGUUAUUCAUUGAGAUCCAUUAGAGUUUUUUUCGUGAUACUAUCGCAUGUAUUUUAUUUACUGUGUAUUGUAGUAGUAUGACUUCAAGUAGACAACUUUAUGUUUUUUUGUAUAAAUUUGAUCCAUAUUAAUAAAAAAUGUUUAUUUUUAAUA